This 74-nucleotide transfer RNA is filed under the name Propionibacteriaceae bacterium. RNAcentral's name for it is "tRNA-Val". It matches the Rfam family "tRNA". From Rfam's summary of the family: Transfer RNA (tRNA) molecules are approximately 80 nucleotides in length. Their secondary structure includes four short double-helical elements and three loops (D, anti-codon, and T loops). The record is from RNAcentral. Lineage: Bacteria; Bacillati; Actinomycetota; Actinomycetes; Propionibacteriales; Propionibacteriaceae.
GGGCGUGUAGCUCAGUUGGUUAGAGCGCCUCCCUUACAAGGAGGAGGUCAUCGGUUCGAGUCCGUUCACGCCCA